This 504-nucleotide ribosomal RNA is filed under the name Triticum aestivum (bread wheat). Its description in RNAcentral is "partial small subunit ribosomal RNA". Lineage: Eukaryota; Viridiplantae; Streptophyta; Magnoliopsida; Poales; Poaceae. The record is from RNAcentral.
AUGUACUAUAAGACUAGAAAAACUGACGCACUCACGGGUCGCAACACCAGAAACAAAAAAUACUUGUACAACCAAAAGAAAACAAAAACACGAACACAAAAUCUCAGCGCGAUGGCAAACGACGAGCGCGGCGCCGGCGAGCGUGGAGCGGCGGAGGACAGCGUCGUGUGGAGGGAGGAGGCGGGGAAGUUCGAGACGCCCGACGGCGAGGCCUUCCUCCGGUACCGCCUCGUCGCCCAGCCGCGCGCCUCCUCCGGCCGCGGCGGCGCGUCCCCGGCGGCGAUGAACAUGGUGCACACGUACGUGCCCGGGAGCAAGCGCGGGCAGGGGCUCGCCGCGCGCCUGUGCGACGCCGCCUUCGCCCACGCGCGGCGCCACGGCAUGCGCGUCAUCCCCACCUGCUCCUACAUCUCGGACACGUACCUCCCUCGCAAUCCGGCGUGGAACGAUCUUGUCUACAAGGCUGACGAGCCCAAACGCAGCAGCACCAGCAGUAGCAUGUAG